Long non-coding RNA from Mustela erminea (ermine), 790 nucleotides. RefSeq lists it as uncharacterized. The record is from RefSeq and is a predicted model, not a curated record. The transcript is spliced from 5 exons. NCBI's taxonomy places the organism in Eukaryota, Metazoa, Chordata, Mammalia, Carnivora, Mustelidae.
CUGCCCUGGGACUUCCAGGUCUCUGUUUCGAAUUACCAAGCACGACCGGGCAGCUGGGACACCAAUCCAACCAUUCAUCUGACGGAUAAUGGGAAAACAGGCCUCAGCUUUGUGCCCAGCUGGAAUGCAAAACGCCUAAACCACGUUGUUGUCCUCUUUGGGAGUUGGCACUGUGGAAGGAACCAGGUGCUGUUCUGGGCUAGAUGGGCUGGAAUCCUAGCUCUCAACUAUACCAGCUGGGUAACCUUGGAUGAAAUGAUUUCCACAGUACCCUCAUGCCAAUUGGAUACAGGUAUUCCUGGCCCCAUUUCACCAUUGGUCAGACAGAGAACUAAUAAAUAUGAGAGAGAUCAGCAUGGACAUUGCAACUUUGAAGGAAACACACACAGAAGUGGAAAGACCCAGAUCUCACUUCUCUAACAAGCUCCUCUCAUGGGCUGGAAGAAACUUGAAUGUACAGAUCUCCUGAUUUAAUACCAAGAAGAAAGUUGAGUUUUCAGACCUGACUGAAGAAGCACGUGGCAAGUUUGGAGAAAUGAUACUGGGAGGAUCCAGAUUAAGAAAAUGUCAAGAAGAACUGGAGAUGGAUGAUAGUUGUAGAACAAGGUGAAUGUACUUAAUGCCAUGGAACUGGACACUUAAAAACAGGCCAAAAUGAUACAGACUUCACAUCUGGAGUUGCAGCAGCCAACUUGUGACCCUGAGAAACAAAAGUCACAUGCUAAGGAUGGUGAACCAAGGAACAAGACAGAGUUGGGGUCCUUUAGGACAUCAUACAGUCACUGUACCA